CUGACAACCCUGGCAGGCAAUCCAGAGAAUUUAAUUGGGAAGUACUAUAUUUAAUCCCAUAACACCAUAAAACCUUUACCUGGGGGGUACUGUUAUACUUGGCUGAACACAAAUAUUAGUGUUUUAAAAGGUAAAACUUAUCACGACAAUAUCACCAAUAAAAGUGACGUUUUUGUUUUUAAAAAAUGCAACAAAAAAAAAUGCUAACUUUGGCAAGCGUUUGUGGCUAAGCCGCUACUCCAAAAGACUGGAAAUACUCCAUUUGGAAUACCCUGGGUUGUCUACUUUUUCAAACGGUGUGGUUACUUUUCAUUUCUGGGCUGCCAUACCGUCUCAAAGGCAACAUAGCCAAUCUGGCAAAUAGCAAUUUACAAAAACACAAAUUAGCAAAUCUUAU
This is a non-coding RNA of Pelobates cultripes (western spadefoot toad), 397 nucleotides long. The record is from the annotation of a GenBank genome assembly. Lineage: Eukaryota; Metazoa; Chordata; Amphibia; Anura; Pelobatidae.